Molecule: ribosomal RNA, 497 nt
Filed under: uncultured bacterium
Lineage: Bacteria
Description: bacterial SSU rRNA
Rfam family: Bacterial small subunit ribosomal RNA
Source: RNAcentral
AUGAACGCUAGCGACAGGCUAACACAUGCAAGUCGAGGGGUAACAGGGUAGCAAUACCGCUGACGACCGGCGCACGGGUGAGUAACGCGUAUGCAACCUGCCUAUAACUGGGGAAUAGCUCCCUGAAAGGGGAAUUAACACCGCAUAACACUAUUGAUUCGCAUGGAUUGGUAGUUAAAUGUAGCGAUACAGGUUAUAGAUGGGCAUGCGUGACAUUAGCUAGUUGGUGAGGUAACGGCUCACCAAGGCUACGAUGUCUAGGGGUUCUGAGAGGAAGGUCCCCCACACUGGUACUGAGACACGGACCAGACUCCUACGGGAGGCAGCAGUGAGGAAUAUUGGUCAAUGGGCGCAAGCCUGAACCAGCCAUGUCGCGUGCAGGAAGACUGCCCCCUAUGGGUUGUAAACUGCUUUUAUAGUAGAAGAAACACAUCUACGUGUAGAUGUCUGCCAGUAUACUAUGAAUAAGCAUCGGCUAACUCCGUGCCAGCCGCCGC